Long non-coding RNA from Saccostrea cuccullata (small rock oyster), 691 nucleotides. RefSeq lists it as uncharacterized. Lineage: Eukaryota; Metazoa; Mollusca; Bivalvia; Ostreida; Ostreidae. The record is from RefSeq and is a predicted model, not a curated record. The transcript has 5 exons.
AGCACCGGAGAAGCAUGCAAAGAGUGGAAUCCAACGGAUAACGUGUGUUCAGAAUGCAAGCCUGGAUUUUUUGGUCCUAACUGCCUUGAAUCUUGCCGCUAUCCUAACUACGGGAAGGGUUGUCAGAUGUUUUGUAACUGUGAAAUGGAGAAUUGUAGUUCCAUCACAGGAUGUGAAGGCAUACAAUUUCAUUGAUUUGAUGCAAAUAUCCCUCAACAUUUAUUUCUUUAUUAUAUAUACAACGUAGCUAAACAUUACUUAUUUUCUGCUGAUUCGAUUUUCUUCAGAUGUUCCUCUAACGUUCUCACGUGAGGUUCUGAUUAUUUCAAGCGUGUCUCAUCCUGCAUUCAGCUUAUCUGAUGAAGAAUGUCUACCGGGAUAUUUUGGAAGAAAAUGCGAAAUUCCUUGCCGGUAUCCAGACUACGGUGUUCAAUGUCAGUCAAAAUGUGAAUGAAGGAGACCUGAAUAUUGUGAUCAUAUAAGAGGAUGUUUAGUCUUUAAAUUUAAGCACUGGAGAAGCAUGCAAAGAGUGGAAUCCAGCGGAUAACAGGUGUUCAGAAUGCAAGCCUGGAUUUUUUGGUCCUAGCUGCCUUGAACCUUGUCGCUAUCCUAACUACGGGAGGGGUUGUCAGAUGUUUUGUAACUGUGAAAUGGAGAAUUGUAGUUCCAUCACAGGAUGUGAAGGCAUAUA